Molecule: long non-coding RNA, 378 nt
Filed under: Numida meleagris (helmeted guineafowl)
Lineage: Eukaryota; Metazoa; Chordata; Aves; Galliformes; Numididae
Description: lncRNA (ENSNMEG00000022216.1)
Source: RNAcentral
CAGAAUAUUCUUGAGUGGAAUUAAAUGGCACAUAUAUAAGGGUAAUAUAAUAAUGGCAGGGCAUACUUGAAGUUCAGCUGAAAACUCCUCUCAUUGGUUCCUAUUCAUUUCCUCAGAUUUUUCCCUGUUCAGUCUCAGAGGAGAGACAGAGGGAUGUGGUGCACCUUGAGACAAACCAUGCUUGAUGGCAUGACCAGUUGGUCACUAUUAGUAGGAAGAGCCUAUGAGAAUUUCAACAAUGUUAAACUGGGACAUAUACAUAAGGCCCAAGAAGUCAACUUCAUUCUUGAUUGCUUCAAGUCCAAAUCAAGAUGCCAAGAGGACUGUGCUUCAGUGAAACAAUAACCUAAACAUCCUGGAUACACUGGCAUUAACCCU